GGAUUGUCUUCUGGAUUGUCUAUGUUACAAUCCAAUCAUGUAAACAAUUUGCGCAAUGGUAUGUAUUGCAAGAUGAAGUACGUCAGCACUCCUUACCGCCAUCCAUGUAUACUGUGGGCUCGUUUCUUUUUCGCUGGCGCAAAAAUGGCGCCGAAUAGGACUUUUAAAGAAACUUUAUAAAAUACGAGUGAGUCGACAGUGGUCGGUGGAUUGGAAUUGAAAUCAGUGGUCGUGGCAGGAUUUUAUACUUUCUGAUCAACAAAUGAAGUGCAGAAAACUUUAAAUUCGAUUCAUUUUAGUGAAUUUUGUAGUUGAGCCAAAAUUUAAAGAACCUCGACAAACCUCGUGGCAACUCAGGAAAGCAA
Non-coding RNA from Paramuricea clavata, 365 nucleotides. The record is from the annotation of a GenBank genome assembly. NCBI's taxonomy places the organism in Eukaryota, Metazoa, Cnidaria, Anthozoa, Malacalcyonacea, Plexauridae.